GUCAAGGACUGCACCAAUGUCUAGGCCAAACUAACCCUUCCGUUGAGAAUGGAGGAAACUUGCAGCUUGCGCAGCUCCUCGAGAACAUGCUGAGCAUCAGGAGGAUCAGACUGACGAAGCUCCUCUAAGAUCAUCUGCAGAUUAACAAGUACUUUUCAGUAAUCUUACCAGUGCCCGCAAACCCAUUGUCAGCCUGGCCUGAUGUCUGUAAUGGAGCAACCCAGGUACAGUCUCACAGAGUGAUGUUACGAUCUCCUCCAGUUUCCCAUAAUACACCACCUCCCUCUUCACCAUCACCUUCCACAUGGCUGCAGACAUUAGCCGCAGUGGUGGAGCUAUAAGCUGCAGAGCUGACAGGGGUAGAGGUGUAUCUGUUGAAAAAAGAUCUCAAUUAAAACAAGCAAACUGUA
Ctenopharyngodon idella (grass carp) is the source of this 410-nucleotide long non-coding RNA. RefSeq lists it as uncharacterized. The record is from RefSeq and is a predicted model, not a curated record. Lineage: Eukaryota; Metazoa; Chordata; Actinopteri; Cypriniformes; Xenocyprididae. The transcript is spliced from 2 exons.